UUCCUCUUUUUCUUUUUUUGAAGCUAGUUGUGAUAUUUCUUUAAAACAUGCAAAAAAAGAGUGUUAUACAGCAAUACAAAGUGACAGUAUUCUGAUCUUUGUCACAUGAUUUUGUGGCUCUGGAGAUUUCUUAGAGUAAAAUCUGUGUAGGUGUUCUUGUGAGUCCAAUUCAUUUGAUAAAGUGAAAUUCCUUCUUAACAUUUUCCUAACUUCAGAGAGUUGAGAUACCUACCUGAAGUGUUAACAAAAAUGACUCGUCUGUGCCUCCUCAGGGGCAGGUGACUAAAACCCAAAAUGUUUAGGAGUGGAAGAAUAGAGUUUGGAGAUGCAUCUCCUUUUGCAUGUGUGUAGAGUUGAAUUAAUAGAGUGGAAGUUCUUAUGUGGUGGAUCCUGAACAGGGAAUGAUGUAGCAUCACUUCGAUAAAUUAGGAGGAAGGUGUGUUGAUCUGUGAUGUGUUUAUAUGUGCAUUUUAAUCCCCAGUAUGAGCAAUUUGCUCUUACUUUGAAACCAAAAAGUUUGGCCAUUACUUGGGUAAAGUAGCAUCUUUAAUUUGCUGUUUUCUCGUGAAGAGUCAUGUACUUCAGAACUGGUGCUGUCAUUACUCCAUGCAGUUGUUUUGUCAGAGAAGCUGCCUACCAAAGAAAAGCUUGUGAAAAGGAAAGCUGUGAACAUGCUGACUAAUUUUGGCCUAAGCAAAAUGCAAUGAGCUAAAUGCUUCAAAAUUUUGUUUUAAAAAAGAUCUUGAAGUAAAAAUAUAAACCAUUUUUGUUCUGCUUUUAGUGAAGUGAGAGCUUUACGUUUUUUCCUGUAACCAUACCUAAGGAUUUGAGGUUUCAAUGAUUCUGUUUUUGACACUAGUUAUCUUAUAUCUGCUUAUUGCAGUAAUCUGAGGAUCAGCCUUUCAGUUAAAGGAAAAAAUAAUCAUUUGAAAAAAUAACCAUAGUAAUAGGUGUGUUAGCAUUAGAUUUUACUGGUUUCAAACUAAGUUAGUGUGUUAAUUUGCCAUUUUUGGAGCUUUACCACAAAAAAAGAUCUCAACCUAGUUAACCUUCCAAUAAAAAAA
Long non-coding RNA from Oxyura jamaicensis (ruddy duck), 1064 nucleotides. RefSeq lists it as uncharacterized. The transcript has 2 exons. The record is from RefSeq and is a predicted model, not a curated record. NCBI's taxonomy places the organism in Eukaryota, Metazoa, Chordata, Aves, Anseriformes, Anatidae.